Molecule: long non-coding RNA, 475 nt
Organism: Sorex araneus (European shrew)
Lineage: Eukaryota; Metazoa; Chordata; Mammalia; Eulipotyphla; Soricidae
Exons: 3
Source: RefSeq, a predicted model, not a curated record
CAGAGGAGCAGGGCAGAUGGUCGUGUGCAAGAAUAGCAUCAUCAAACUGGAAAAACUCAGAGCCCAGGGGUACCCGGAGAGUCUAGAAGGAUUCACAAGCUCAGCCAGUUUGGAAGAGAAUCAGUUCCCAGGUCUUUGAUUGACAGAUGUGAUCAAUGAAAGACUCCCGAGCAGACACACGCAGCACGUGUCCAGCAUGCCGCCUGGAAACAGCAGGCUGGAAGAGGGAAGGGCAGAAGGCAAACAAGGCUGACAAUGAGUGCCUGUACAUCGGUGACAGUGGACAGCAAAUCGCAGUGGCCUUGUCUCCACGAAAGACACCUUGAAGCUGACAGAAACCAGAGAGAGAGAGAGAGAUGCAAGGAGCGGAGGAAGAGUGAUGAGCGAGACGGUGGACUCAGACAUCAGCCUGCAUGUGGUCCUUCUCCCGGUGAAGGCGGUCCCUGCGUUCCUUCGACAGCAGCAAGACAGAAAU